CUGCUUCUCCGAGAAAACACCAAAUGGCGGAUGACGCCUGUGCAGCGGGCGGGGGCGGAAGACCGCGGAGUUCGCGGAGGCAAGGCCGAGGAUAAGGAGCGGAUGCCCGUCACCAAGCUCGGCCGCCUGGCCAAGGAUAUGAAGAUCAAGUCCCUGGAGGAGAUUUAUCUCUUCUCCCUGCCCAUCAAGGAAUCUGAGAUCAUUGACUUUUUCCUGGGGGCCUCUCUCAAGGACGAGGUUUUGAAGAUUAUGCCGUUGCGGAAGCAGACCCGCGCCGGCCAGCGCACCAGGUUCAAGACGUUUGUUGCCAUCGGGGACUACAAUGGCCACGUUGGUCGGGUUGAAGUGUUCCAAGGAGGUGGCCGCCGCCAUCGGUGGGGCCAUCAUCCUGACCAAGCUCUCCAUUGUCCCCGUGCGCAGAGGCUACUCGGGGAACAAGAUCGGCAAGCUCCACACCGUCCCUUGCAAGGUGACAGGCCGCUGCGGCUCUGUGCUGGCGCGCCUCACCCGCGCCCAGGGGCACUGGCAUCGUCUCAGCGCCUGUGCCCAAGAAGCUGCUCAUGAUGGCUGGAUCUAUGACUGCUACACCUCAGCCAGGGGCUGCACUGCCACUCUGGGCAACUUCGCCAAGGCCACCUUGGAUGCCAUCUCUAAGAUCUACAGCUAUCUGAUCCCCUGAAGGACCUCUGGAAGGAGACUGUAUUCACCAGGUCUCCCUAUCAGGAAUUCACUGACCACCUCGCCAAGACCCACACCAGAGUCUCCGUGCAGAGGACCCAGGCUCCAGCUGUGACUACAACAUAGG
Molecule: RNA transcript, 805 nt
Organism: Symphalangus syndactylus (siamang)
Lineage: Eukaryota; Metazoa; Chordata; Mammalia; Primates; Hylobatidae
Gene name: small ribosomal subunit protein uS5-like
Source: RefSeq, a predicted model, not a curated record